ACGGAGGAUGCAAGCGUUAUCCGGAUUUAUUGGGUUUAAAGGGUGCGCAGGUUGUUUUAUAAGUCAGUGGUGAAAGUCUGCCGCUUAACGGAAGGAUUGCCAUUGAUACUAUAGAACUUGAGUAUGGAUGAGGUAGGCGGAAUGUGUAGUGUAGCGGUGAAAUGCUGUGAUCUUACGCAGAACACCGAUUGCGAAGGCAGCUUACUAGGCCAUUUCUGACGCUGAGGCACGAAAGCGGGGGGAGCAAACAG
Molecule: ribosomal RNA, 251 nt
Filed under: uncultured prokaryote
Description: partial 16S rRNA
Rfam family: Bacterial small subunit ribosomal RNA
Source: RNAcentral